RNAcentral lists this ribosomal RNA (459 nucleotides) under uncultured bacterium. RNAcentral's name for it is "SSU rRNA". It matches the Rfam family "Bacterial small subunit ribosomal RNA", at positions 26 to 518 of the family's 1533-position model. The record is from RNAcentral.
AGAAUCAACGCUGGCGGCGUGCCUAACACAUGCAAGUCGAACGAGAAAGGGUAGCAAUACCUGAGUAAAGUGGCGCACGGGUGAGUAACACGUGACUAACCUACCUUUUAGUGGGGGAUAACCUAGGGAAACCUGGGCUAAUACCGCAUAAUACCUACGGGUCAAAGCAGCAAUGCGCUGAAAGAGGGGGUCGCGGCCGAUUAGCUAGUUGGCGGGGUAAUGGCCCACCAAGGCAGUGAUCGGUAUCCGGCCUGAGAGGGCGCACGGACACACUGGAACUGAAACACGGUCCAGACUCCUACGGGAGGCAGCAGUGGGGAAUUUGCGCAAUGGGGGAAACCCUGACGCAGCAACGCCGCGUGGAGGAUGAAGUCCCUUGGGACGUAAACUCCUUUCGAUCGGGACGAUAAUGACGGUACCGGAAGAAGAAGCCCCGGCUAACUUCGUGCCAGCAGCCGC